This 208-nucleotide unclassified non-coding RNA is filed under the name plant metagenome. Its description in RNAcentral is "partial contains small subunit ribosomal RNA and internal transcribed spacer 1". The stretch from base 1 to 46 matches the Rfam family "Eukaryotic small subunit ribosomal RNA", at positions 1786 to 1831 of the family's 1831-position model. The record is from RNAcentral.
AAGUCGUAACAAGGUUUCCGUAGGUGAACCUGCGGAAGGAUCAUUACAGAGAAUCUGCCCCCGGCCGGAUCUCCCCACCCUUUGUUUACCAUACCUUUGUUGUUUUGGCAGGCCCGCCCCGGCCGGCCGGCCUCUGGCUGGCCAGCGUCUGCCAGAAGACCCCAAACUCUUGUUUUAUUGUCGUCUGAGUACUAUAUAAUAGUUAAAA